This 342-nucleotide ribosomal RNA is filed under the name uncultured bacterium. RNAcentral describes it as "bacterial SSU rRNA". It matches the Rfam family "Bacterial small subunit ribosomal RNA", at positions 30 to 372 of the family's 1533-position model. The record is from RNAcentral.
AUUGAACGCUGGCGGCAUGCCUUACACAUGCAAGUCGAACGGCAGCACGGGAGCAAUCCUGGUGGCGAGUGGCGAACGGGUGAGUAAUAUAUCGGAACGUGCCCAGUCGUGGGGAUAACGUAGCGAAAGCUACGCUAAUACCGCAUACGAUCUAUGGAUGAAAGCGGGGGGAUCGCAAGACCUCGCGCGAUUGGAGCGGCCGAUAUCAGAUUAGGUAGUUGGUGAGGUAAAGGCUCACCAAGCCGACGAUCUGUAGCUGGUCUGAGAGGACGACCAGCCACACUGGGACUGAGACACGGCCCAGACUCCUACGGGAGGCAGCAGUGGGGAAUUUUGGACAAU